CCUAGAUGGUUCUCAGGAUUUCCAGCCAUUUGAUUAUCCCAUUCAACAUAGAUCAGUCGUUCAAUUUCAGGAUUAGGUUCAACUAGGUCAGGGUAUAGAGAUCUCCUACUGUGCAUGUAUCAGUGCAAACCCUAAUGUGCGGUUCAGAUUUUUUUUUUAAGAAAAUAAGAAAGAGAAAAAAAAAUAAAGAAAUAAAGAAGUUCCAAAGGUAAGAACCUUAAGAAAGUCCUACACCUGAGGACAAAAGAUAAGAAGAAUUAGUUAUGGUUGGGUGUUAAUUGUAAUCAAGUUAGCAAGCAAUUAAAUCUAGACACCUAUGGGUUUAUUAGACCUAACAG
RNAcentral lists this long non-coding RNA (338 nucleotides) under Elaeis guineensis (African oil palm). Its description in RNAcentral is "long non-coding RNA (EGUI_LNC018083)". Lineage: Eukaryota; Viridiplantae; Streptophyta; Magnoliopsida; Arecales; Arecaceae. The record is from RNAcentral.